RNAcentral lists this ribosomal RNA (620 nucleotides) under Microbacterium sp. I12A-00859. Its description in RNAcentral is "bacterial SSU rRNA". It matches the Rfam family "Bacterial small subunit ribosomal RNA", at positions 93 to 726 of the family's 1533-position model. Lineage: Bacteria; Bacillati; Actinomycetota; Actinomycetes; Micrococcales; Microbacteriaceae. The record is from RNAcentral.
CAGUGGCGAACGGGUGAGUAACACGUGAGCAACCUGCCCCUGACUCUGGGAUAAGCGCUGGAAACGGCGUCUAAUACUGGAUAUGUGACGUGACCGCAUGGUCUGCGUUUGGAAAGAUUUUUCGGUUGGGGAUGGGCUCGCGGCCUAUCAGCUUGUUGGUGAGGUAAUGGCUCACCAAGGCGUCGACGGGUAGCCGGCCUGAGAGGGUGACCGGCCACACUGGGACUGAGACACGGCCCAGACUCCUACGGGAGGCAGCAGUGGGGAAUAUUGCACAAUGGGCGGAAGCCUGAUGCAGCAACGCCGCGUGAGGGAUGACGGCCUUCGGGUUGUAAACCUCUUUUAGCAGGGAAGAAGCGAAAGUGACGGUACCUGCAGAAAAAGCGCCGGCUAACUACGUGCCAGCAGCCGCGGUAAUACGUAGGGCGCAAGCGUUAUCCGGAAUUAUUGGGCGUAAAGAGCUCGUAGGCGGUUUGUCGCGUCUGCUGUGAAAUCCCGAGGCUCAACCUCGGGCCUGCAGUGGGUACGGGCAGACUAGAGUGCGGUAGGGGAGAUUGGAAUUCCUGGUGUAGCGGUGGAAUGCGCAGAUAUCAGGAGGAACACCGAUGGCGAAGGCAGAU